Molecule: long non-coding RNA, 1447 nt
Filed under: Carica papaya (papaya)
Lineage: Eukaryota; Viridiplantae; Streptophyta; Magnoliopsida; Brassicales; Caricaceae
Description: long non-coding RNA (CPAP_LNC000153)
Source: RNAcentral
UGUUGUUCAUGUACUUCAAGAAGCCUAUUCAAGAAUUUAGAAGAUGAAUUAAGGUUAAGGAAGAAGCUCUUCAGCCUCUAUGGACCUAACUCAUCUAUGAUAACGGGUGCCCAAAAAAAUCUAGAAAUGGACCAACCCAUUGAGUGCAGAUGGGCUGAUCCAAAGGAAAAUAUUAAAUAAAAAAAACCCAAACCAUAUAAAUGGGAUGUAAACCGGAGGAGAAAUUGCCCGAAGUCCAAUUGUGUCCACGGGCCAAACCAAAUUUUGUACAGGUUGAAACCAUAUUAUGAAGAUUGAUAAAACGAAAAUAGAGAGAAAAGGAUUUUCACAAUGAGUAUGGGCUAUUGGCCCAGCUAAAUGUGUGAGGUACAUGAUUAAACAAUUUAAUUGAAGAACUUGGUGUAGAUGCUUAGGAUGGGUCCAAUAAUAGAGUUAGGCAGAUUUGGGUUUGAGGCUCAAAAUAAUAGAAGUAUAUUGUAGUUGACGCAGUUACAUAACAUGUUUGAUAAAGGAGUGGGUAUGGAAAUGUAUGAUGGAUUCAAUAAUGUAUCAGUAGGGCAAAGAAUUGAAUCAGGGGUUUAAUUACUACCAAUUUUAGAAAAUAGCACCCACCCAAUAUGGCUGAUAAUAAUAAUAAGGAAAUAACAAAAAAAAAAAAAGAAAAUAAAAUAAUAACAAAAAUAAAAUAUAGAUAUAUAAAUAUGUGUAUGUGUUAGUUGGAGGGAAUUAUGAUUUCAAACUAGAUUUACAUAGUUAAGAAUAUGAAAGAUUAUGCGAACGACUUAUAAACGAUGUUAGGGUAAGGCAGUAUGUGGGUAAAUUAAAUGAAAUUAUGAGUAAUGGAUGUUCUCGUGAGAUCAAAAAGGGCUUAGUUGGGAACUAAUUAAGAGAGACUUUAUGUGAAAAGUUAAAAGAAUAAAAACAAACAAUAAAGAAAUGUUUGUCAUUAGAAAUGGAAUACUAGUAAUGUGAAACAUUCCCAAUUUAUAAUGAUAAAUUUCAUAAAAGUAAGGAAGAUUAUUAAAUAAGAAAAUGGAUCAAAUUAAGGAAAUUUUUUCAUAUAUGCAUAUGUAUGAAAUUAAAUCCUAUCAACGUAAGUGAUAAUGAACCCUAUUACAUGGUUGAUAUGGUUAGUGUGUGAGGUACCUGCUCUAUAAUAUGAUAAAGACGUAAAUGUAUUUAUUGUAUAAUGUACCUGCUAUGUGAUUUAGUAUAGACGUGAAUAUAUUUACUGAAUGAUGUACCUACUGUGUCACUUGGGGCACAGACAAGAAUGUAUUUACUAUGUGAUGUAUCCAUUGUGUGACCUGGUACAGACGUAGAUGUAUUAACUGUGUGAUGUAUCUAGUGUGUGAUCUGGUAUAGAUGUGAAUGUAUUUACUGUAUGAUGUUCCUGCUAUAUGAUCGAGUAUGAAUGUGAUGUUGUUGUUGUGAAAGAUACCNNNNN